UGCUGGGCGCCACAACUUUCCCCAACCCGUGCCAACUUCCAGGGCACAGCCUCUGCGGAGAGUAGCAGGGUACAGUGAAUAACCCAGACACUAAAAAGCAAGGCAGCGGGGGUCCUACCAGCGCGGCUUUUGAUGACGUCGGUGAAUCCGUCCUCAGCGGCAUUUUCUGGGGUCUCCUGCAGACCCCUCAGCUGUGCCAUAACCAAACGCCACGUGCCUCAGCUUCCUCACGCCCCAAACUUUGGAAGGCAGGUCACAUGGAAUCUACACAUGGAAGGACAUAGGCAUUGCAUGCAGGUAUCCGGAAUCAUUGAUAUUGGUCUUAAAAUUUGGAAGUUUCCACUUUUGCUAAGGUAUGUUUUCCUUAAUGGUGGAGGUUUACUAAUUGGGUGUACCUCCAGAUCUAAUUCUUUCAUGUAAUCCUCAUAUGAUAGGAAGUAAUGAGAUGAAUAUCAUUAGGCAUUUUCAAAUUUGAAUUGAAACAUAUUACGAUAUGUUUAUAUUAGAGACUGGACAAAAUUAUCAUUAAGAUUCUAAGGUUCUACUUAUCAUUACCAUGAAUGGGUUUUAAACUGCUAACUAGUUAAAGAACUGUAAAUGAAAAAAGAAAAAACAA
This 616-nucleotide long non-coding RNA is filed under the name Homo sapiens (human). RNAcentral describes it as "HSALNT0407225". The record is from RNAcentral. Lineage: Eukaryota; Metazoa; Chordata; Mammalia; Primates; Hominidae.